AUUGAACGCUGGCGGCAGGCCUAACACAUGCAAGUCGAACGGUAACAGGAAACAGCUUGCUGUUUCGCUGACGAGUGGCGGACGGGUGAGUAAUGUCUGGGAAACUGCCUGAUGGAGGGGGAUAACUACUGGAAACGGUAGCUAAUACCGCAUAACGUCGCAAGACCAAAGAGGGGGACCCUCGGGCCUCUUGCCAUCGGAUGUGCCCAGAUGGGAUUAGCUUGUUGGUGGGGUAACGGCUCACCAAGGCGACGAUCCCUAGCUGGUCUGAGAGGAUGACCAGCCACACUGGAACUGAGACACGGUCCAGACUCCUACGGGAGGCAGCAGUGGGGAAUAUUGCACAAUGGGCGCAAGCCUGAUGCAGCCAUGCCGCGUGUAGGAAGAAGGCCUUCGGGUUGUAAAGUACUUUCAGCGGGGAGGAAGGGAGUAAAGUUAAUACCUUUGCUCAGUGACGGUACCCGCAGAAGAAGCACCGGCUAACGCCG
This 488-nucleotide ribosomal RNA is filed under the name uncultured bacterium. Its description in RNAcentral is "partial 16S ribosomal RNA". It matches the Rfam family "Bacterial small subunit ribosomal RNA", at positions 30 to 505 of the family's 1533-position model. The record is from RNAcentral.